This 465-nucleotide ribosomal RNA is filed under the name uncultured bacterium. RNAcentral describes it as "partial 16S ribosomal RNA". It matches the Rfam family "Bacterial small subunit ribosomal RNA", at positions 28 to 507 of the family's 1533-position model. The record is from RNAcentral.
GAUGAACGCUGGCGGCGUGCUUAACACAUGCAAGUCGAACGGAAAUUCUCUUGCUUGCAGGGUUACUCGAGUUGCGAACGGGUGAGUAACACGUGGGUGAUCUGCCCUGCACUUCGGGAUAAGCCUGUGUAACUGGGUCUAAUACCUGAUAGGUCGCUGGUUUUGAUGCCUUUGUGGAAAGUUUUUCUGUGUUGGAUGAGCUCGCGGCCUAUCAGCUUGUUUGUGGGGUAAUGGCCUACCAAUGCGUCGACGGGUAGCCGGCCUGGGAAGGCGUACGGCCACAAUGGGACUAAGAGACGGCGCAGAAGGGUACGGGAGGCAGCAGUGGGGAGUAUUGCAGAAUGGGGGCAAGCGUGAUGCAGCGGAGCCGCGUGGGGGAAGACGGCCUGCGAGGGAUAAACGCAUAUCGCUAGGGAAGAAGUGCAAGUGACGGUACCUGGAGAAGAAGCACCGGCUAACUACGUG